AGUUUUAGGGUUUUGUUAGUGAGAAUCUCGGAGACACGAUCUCUUACUUAGGGCUUGAUUGGAACCGCAAACACCCUUUUCCUUAAACUCCCGUAACCGCAACCGCAUCCGCUGCGUUUAAACCAGUCAGGCCCUCGAUCAAUAUUCUUUAUAUCUCUUAU
Molecule: small RNA, 161 nt
Filed under: Arabidopsis thaliana (thale cress)
Lineage: Eukaryota; Viridiplantae; Streptophyta; Magnoliopsida; Brassicales; Brassicaceae
Description: ATSL028110
Source: RNAcentral